GUGUCAGCAGCCGCGGUAAUACGUAGGUGGCGAGCGUUAUCCGGAUUUAUUGGGCGUAAAGAGGGCGCUGGUGGUUUUGUAAGUCGGAUGUAAAAUCUCCUGGCUUAACUGGGAGCGGUCAUUCGAUACUGUGAAACUUGAGAGCAACAGAGGCAGGUGGAAUUCCCGGUGUAGUGGUGAAAUGCGUAGAUAUCGGGAGGAACACCAGUGGCGAAAGCGACCUGCUGGGUUGUUUCUGACGCUUAGGCCCGAAAGUGUGGGGAGCAAACAGGAUUAGAUACCCUGGUAGUCCACACUAUAAACUAUGGACACUAGAUAUGGGGAGUAUCGACCCUCUCCGUGUCGAAGCUAACGCGUUAAGUGUCCCGUCUGGGGAGUACGGCCGCAAGGCUAAA
RNAcentral lists this ribosomal RNA (395 nucleotides) under uncultured bacterium. RNAcentral describes it as "bacterial SSU rRNA". It matches the Rfam family "Bacterial small subunit ribosomal RNA", at positions 505 to 898 of the family's 1533-position model. The record is from RNAcentral.